CAGCAGCCGCGGUAAUACGAAGGGUGCAAGCGUUACUCGGAAUUACUGGGCGUAAAGCGUGCGUAGGUGGUGGUUUAAGUCCGUUGUGAAAGCCCUGGGCUCAACCUGGGAAUUGCAGUGGAUACUGGGUCACUAGAGUGUGGUAGAGGAUAGUGGAAUUUCCGGUGUAGCAGUGAAAUGCGUAGAGAUCGGAAGGAACAUCUGUGGCGAAGGCGACUAUCUGGGCCAACACUGACACUGAGGCACGAAAGCGUGGGGAGCAAACAGGAUUAGAGACCCGGGUAGUCCCUGUCUCUUAUAC
Molecule: ribosomal RNA, 301 nt
Filed under: uncultured bacterium
Lineage: Bacteria
Description: partial 16S ribosomal RNA
Rfam family: Bacterial small subunit ribosomal RNA
Source: RNAcentral